RNAcentral lists this long non-coding RNA (326 nucleotides) under Elaeis guineensis (African oil palm). Its description in RNAcentral is "long non-coding RNA (EGUI_LNC076248)". Lineage: Eukaryota; Viridiplantae; Streptophyta; Magnoliopsida; Arecales; Arecaceae. The record is from RNAcentral.
GUAGAGUGGGAAGUCGGUGAAAGAAAAUCUCUAAAAAUUUUAUGGCUAAUACUCAACCAUUAAUUGGGUCGAAUUGAUAAUCCAAUGAAGUACCUCUUUAAUGAUCUAGCCGGAUAUCAACUAUAGUUAGGAAUGUCUAGGAUAACUUUCAAUUCAAGGAUAAUUUGGUGUACAAUGCUAAUGUAUCUAUUUUACUCGAGGACGAGUAAAGUUUAAAUUGGGGGGUGUGAUGAAUACUUAAUUUAGGAUGCUAGAGGCACUAAAUAUUAUAAUCAUUAAUGUUAUUUUAUUAAGAAUUUAAUGCUAUCUAGUCUAUUUUGCAGGUA